Molecule: ribosomal RNA, 468 nt
Filed under: uncultured bacterium
Lineage: Bacteria
Description: partial 16S ribosomal RNA
Rfam family: Bacterial small subunit ribosomal RNA
Source: RNAcentral
GACGAACGCUGGCGGCGUGCUUAACACAUGCAAGUCGAACGGAAAGGCCCUGCUUUUGUGGGGUGCUCGAGUGGCGAACGGGUGAGUAACACGUGAGUAACCUGCCCUUGACUUUGGGAUAACUUCAGGAAACUGGGGCUAAUACCGGAUAGGAGCUCCUGCUGCAUGGUGGGGGUUGGAAAGUUUCGGCGGUUGGGGAUGGACUCGCGGCUUAUCAGCUUGUUGGUGGGGUAGUGGCUUACCAAGGCUUUGACGGGUAGCCGGCCUGAGAGGGUGACCGGCCACAAUGGGACUGAGAUACGGCCCAGACUCCUACGGGAGGCAGCAGGGGGGAAUAUGGCACAAUGGGCGGAAGCCUGAUGCAGCAACGCCGCGUGCGGGAUGACGGCCUUCGGGUUGUAAACCGCUUUCGCCUGUGACGAAGCGUGAGUGACGGUAAUGGGUAAAGAAGCACCGGCUAACUACGUG